This is a long non-coding RNA of Wyeomyia smithii (pitcher-plant mosquito), 8240 nucleotides long. RefSeq lists it as uncharacterized. Lineage: Eukaryota; Metazoa; Arthropoda; Insecta; Diptera; Culicidae. The record is from RefSeq and is a predicted model, not a curated record. The transcript is spliced from 2 exons.
UGAAACCUGUUUCGCCCCUUGGUGACCAAGGAGUCAACAAAUUCGAUCAAACAAAAAUGGCAUUAUCAUUUUUUCUCUAUUUCUAAUAACUAUGUGCAUUUAUAUCAAAUUUGAAAGACCUUGUGCACCUAGCGGCCUAGUUUCAGCGAGAAUUGCUCCGCUGAGCUAUUCGACUUAAUUCCAGAUAGUGCUGCAAUAGCCGUUAAAGCCCUUUUGCAAGUAUAGUUAACGUAACUCUUAAAUGUGAGCUUAUCGUCAACCAUAACAACCCAGACCUUCGAAGAUCGCUUUGAGGUAAUGGUGCAGUCUCCGACCACGACCACUGUUGCUGCCUGUUGCUCUGAUUUGCGGUUAUUCACAACCGUGACUUCCAUCUUAUGGUGCGCCAACUCCAGUUUCCUGGAGUGCAUCCAGUCUUCGACUCGUCCUUCUCGCUCGACUCGCCGUAGACUUCUAGCGUUAUUUCGUCUGUUGAAUCGACGAUCACAAUCCCUACAGGGAACUUGAGUUUCAACACCUCGUCAUACGUGGCAUUCCACAACACCGGUCCCAGAAUAGAACCUUGCGGAGCUCCUGCGGUAAUUGUGAUGCACUUUUGACCCUUCUCCGUGUUGUAAACAGUGGUGCACGAAUGCCCCCGAGCGCAAGCGCUUCGGAGUCCCAACUGGCGAUAAUUAACGCAUUCUUCACGUCAAGCGUGACGAUGGAGCAAAGCGUAUGCCCCUUCUUUUGCGCUGGAGUGCUACCUUUGCCGUCUUGGUGACGGAUAGGCUAGCAUCCAGCGUAAACCUACCCUUCCGGAAACCGAACUGAUUACUUGCCAGACCGUUUACACCCUCCGUGAGGAUAAUCCUACAAAGCACCUUGCCCGUAGUGUCCAGCGGCUAGAUAGGCCUGUAUACUGAUGGGUACCCUGGUGGUUUCCCUGCCUUCGGCAGUAAGACCAAUCUCUGCCACUACCACCUCUCUAGGAAGAGGCAGUCAUCCAGGCACCUCUGAAUGACUGCCCGAAACAGCCCGGGGGGCGUUUUUAUCACCAGGCUGAUUGCCAGGUUAGGGAUUCUAUCCUGUUCCGGUGCCUCGCUCACCUUUUGGUAGUUGGCAAUCACGAUGAGUUCCUCAUUCGUAAUCCUUACCUCUCCCUCAAUCUCGACACGGCUGUCGUCGGUCACGAAUUGGAUGUUCGGCCAUCCCUGGUCUGUGUCUGAGAUACUGGAACGCCGAACGUGACACUCGAGUGCCGGAGGACAAGGACUAAGCUCGUAGCGAGGAAAGAGUCCCUCUUUGAAACGCUCCAGCAUCGUUCUACAGGCGUAAGCGCACCGUUGGUCUUCUCCGUCGAUCGGUUAGCUCUCACACACGGUUGUGAUAUCGGGUUCGAUUAACGAUCAGGUCGAGGGUCUUCUCGAGCUUGCAAUUUUCUCGAUUCCGCACUGUGAUACGGUGUAUCGUUGUACUUAUCUUACAGCAUGCAAAAUGUGCCAAAAACAAUAUCGAAAACUUUCUCUCUCUCUCUCUCAAGUAAUCUAGUUGACCGACAUCAUUAUUAGCCCCUCAGGCUAGCGUGCGAUAUUGACAUUGAUAGUUUUGAGCAUUCAUUUCUAACAAAUUUUCACAACACUAUUAAUCAUAAAACUUCAAUUUCUCUCUGUUACAAAUUUCGGGAUCUUAACUAUUGACGCGUUUAACAUAAAAGCUUCGUAAACUCUUGUGGAAGAACGUUGAUUGAAUGUUUCGAUCGCACACAGGUCACAAAUAGAACAGUAUGCCGCUGAUAUACCCUGCGUGGGAGGAGACAGGCGACGACACCUAUAGAAUGCGAAGCCAUUAAAUCAACCUCUUCAAAAGACUUACCGUAGACCUCCGGGGUUAUGAUGUCCGCAAAUCCAAGAGAAAUUUGAUUUUACCACACUUCAAUACAUGCUUUUCCACAUCAAUGGACCCAGGAUGGAACCUUGCGGUACCCCGGUAGACCAUUCUAUAUUCCAAUGAAUCACUACAGAUAAGUCUAUAUGCCAAUGGAUAUAGGAUAAAUUUCCGUCCAUUGGCAAUAAAACCAGCCUCUGUCAGUUUUCCCUUCCUAGGACGAAGCAGUUAUCCAGGAAUCUCUUCAUGGCUACCCUGAACAUUCACUUUUAUUGUCAUCCUGGUGGCCAGAUUCAGACACAAUUCCAUCCGAUCCUGGUGCUUUUCUCAUUCGAAAUACCUAUUUCUGUCUCUAAUAUACUGUAGAGUACGUCGUAGGAUCAUUCAACAGUUGGAGAACAAGGACUUGGUUCGUGGCAUGAAAAGAAUCCCCCGACGAUUCACUUUAUUGUUGUUUUUGUUCAGCAUCCUAGAGCCGUGGUGACUCGUGUCGUAUCAAGAAUUUUUCUCCCCUUUUACUCGUUCCUCGGCUACUCGUCGCCCUUUUCCUAGGCGUCGUGACACACAACCUGGUCAAACCAUCUUGCACGCUAAACCCUCUGUUUCUGGUGCUGGUGGGGCUCUUGAAGGAAACUGAUAUUACCACAGUGUCGUUCGGCAUUCUCGUGACAUGCCCGGCCCUACGUCAGGUGCCAGAAUUCUCUCCAAAUAAUACCUGUAGCUCGUUUCGAUUUCUCUUCCACAACACUUUCAAAUCAAAUUCGACCAGUGCGUGCAAGUCCUCCGUGAGUAACGUCAUGAUUUCAAGUCCAUACAGAACUACGGUCUAAUUAGGGUUUUGUACAUCGUCGAAGCAUCUUGAGAAGUCUCGAAUUCCAGCUAUUCAAGCUGUCGUUAGAUCUCUUUUCUUAUGUAAGUAUCAACGGUUACCAGGGAUCAAAGAUAUACGAACGCGUGGAUUGCCUCCGCCUUCGCAAAAUUUUCAUCUGCUUGUCGCAACCCUCUGCGCUUUUUGAAGGAAUACGAGAGUGUCCAUCACUCGGUCCCAGGUAGCUUUGAGAAAUCGCCUCAGUUUAUCCGUAUUGCAAAGUACCGUUUUGAUUCAUACUUCGAAGUCUCAAACUUCGAACACUUUACAAUAAAAACCGAAUUAUUAUAACCAGUGUAAUAAAAGGAAUGUUCUUCACCCAGUGAUGUAUAGCUCUUUGCUGUAGAGCCACUUUCGGGGAAUCAGCAGGCGUUGGAAAAAGUGACAAUCAGUAUUCAAACGGGUUGCUCAUCUAACUAAGAGAUUCCUUGUUUUCAUGUACAAAACGUGUUUGAAUCUAUAAACAACACUUAAUUGCAACAAAAACAAAAUAACCAACAUACUAAACUUUUAAGAUCAAUGAGAAAGUUCAUUUUUCGUUGAUUUUUUAAGUGUUCGAAAUUGGAUGCAGUAUGGUACGUCUCGUGACUUUGAAUGCUAAUAGUGAUAUGAAAGAUUUGUUUGAUUUGAUCAAACAGUACAGUGGUUGCUAUGCGAAGAGCUUACCACCACUUCUUCUGGAUCGUGGAUUACUUGCUUCAAAUGGUGAAGAGACAGGAUGACAGCUUGUCAUGUUAAAUCUGCCUAAUACUUCUUCAGUUUAGCUCUGUUGGUCGAGACUCGAGGGACGACUCAACACGUUCUCGGUUUCCGCUGAUUUUGAGUCGCAGACAAAACUUUACUCAACUCAAGUCCUUCGUCUGGAACCGAGUGCACAGGAACUUUUGCAAUUGUUUCUUUAAUUUUCCUCUAGCCGUGAAGAUCAGAAAUAUAGUGACGAACAACACCGACCUUUAAUUGUUCUAGCCCGAACUCGUUUAACGCUUCAUCCAGCUGCUGGCUCCAAACUCGGCUGGAUUAUUUCAGACCGUACAAUGCCUUUCGAAGCCGGCACACUUUCGUCGUGUCCAUUACAAAUCCUUCUGGCUGCUGCAUAUAGAUUACUUCAGCUUCCUUUCUUGAGCUUCCCUUGCAGAAAAGCCGUGAUUUCGUCCAUUUAGUCCAUCUCAAGGUUGAACUUUGUCGCCAAUGCCAUCAGGAAUCUUAUUGUAGAAUAUAGGACCACCGGUGCAUAGACCUCGUCGUAGUCGAUAACCGGCCGUUGCGGACAACUCUUGACGACUAAGCCGGUCUUGUACUGUUCAAUUUUUCCGUCUGAUAGUCUUAAAUACUCACUUGUUUUUGAUCGCUUUCCCGCCUUUGGGCAAGUUUGCAAGCACGCACGUCUAGUUGAUCUCCAAUGUAGCGAUUUCCUUUCUCGUAGCAGAAAUCCACAGCUCUCGGUCUGGUCUAUUCAACGCCUCGUUGUACGUGGUUGGAUCGUUCAUUUAUUGUGCCGCUUGUCACUGUUCGGAAACAUGUUGGCCAAUAUACGUACUAUAAGUAGUAAACUUGGCAUACUUGCCUGGAGGCCGGCACUCCCGACCAUUGCCUUUCGUCUCUAGCUGCUUGUCAGUCGAUCUUUCGAGUUGCGAUUAGAGCGCAAUUUCGUCGUCUUCAUCUUCAAAUUCUUCCGAACUGCUACUCACAUCUACAGUCGAUUCAACAGUUACUACUGCCGCCUCAUCACUUGGUUGUUCUGGUUGACAUAUUCGGGUCGUGCAGCAGACUGGAAAUCAUCACACGCUUCAUCGACUGCCGCAUCGAAAAAUUCGAUCUCCAGAAAUUCUACUGAUUCUGCCGGCUCAGGUGUUGCCACACCACGGCUAAUAGCGCCUUAAUUGGCCUCCGGGUUGUUCAAUCUGUAACCUUUUGUGUCCUCAGCAUAUCCAACGAACACACAUUCCGCCGAUUUAGAGUCAAGCUGGCUACGGAUUUAAAUAUCCUGAAGUGGCUUUCUGUGAUAGUCAAGCAGCACUUAAAGCCCUGAAUUCUCCUUUCUGCCACUCUAAACUAGUGUGGGAAUGCAUCAUGUCGCUCCGAAAGUUAGCUAUGAAAAACCAGGUUAACUUAUACUUCCUGGUCCUGGUCCUUAGGUUUCUGGUCAUCAUGGAAUCGAAGGAAACGAGAAGGCCGACUAGACUAGCCAGACAAGUGUCAACCACUAACUUUGUUGGCCCAGAACCUUUCUGUGGAGUCUCCCUGAGCGCUCUAAAAGCUGAACUCGGUGAAUGGGAGAAAACGACGUUCAAAGCAAACUGAGAUGUCAUAAGCGGUUACGACAAUCGAAAAGAUUCAUAGAGCCAAAUCGCGAGAAGAGCCUCGUGCUGCUCAGGUUAAAUAAGAAAGACCUGAGGACAUUCACAGGCCCUAUUACAGGGCACUGUCCGAGUAAGUAUCAUCUCAAGAAGAUAGGCGAACUUGAUGAUGAUAAAUGUCGCCUUUGUGGCAUCGAAAGCGAAACUUCAUAACAUCUACUCUGCGAAUGCCGAGUAUUAAUACAACGCAGAUUGCGUAUCUUCAGUAAGAGACACAUAGAACCUACUGAAAUUUGGAGAAAAAGUCCCGGUGAGAUAAUAUACUUCAUACGAAGUGCGUUGCCCAACUGGGAUAAAUGUGCAAUGUAGCGAGGACAUCAACUCGCCAAAUAGUGAUGUACCUACUCGUACGCACUUAGAGUAAGUUGAAGUAUACUACAAUAGUUCAAAAAAUGGUCGCAGUGGUUCAGUGUUCUACAAGAGAAAAAAAAAAUCCUCGAGUGGCCAACGUAGGGUUUCUUUUUUGACCACGCCUUUUCUGGUGUCUUUCCAUCCAGGGACCUCAUUGGACUACAAUUAUGGAACUUUUAGGCAACUUGGCAUCAUUUAGCAUGCACCUCACUUCCUCGAGAAAGGUCCGAUUCAUGCGCUUAGCGACGAUGUUUUACUGAGUCGUAUAUAAACAGAAUUUUUGAUGACUUAUUCAGUCUCGCUAGAAAUUUGCCUUGAAUCGACCAUUCACAUAUUCUUGCUUGUUGUUACAGCGUGAAACCUUUAACUUGCACCCAGAUUGCCGUUCAACCAUCGGUUCGAAGUCUUCGUACGCUAAAGCUUGAUGUUCCGAUUUCAGGUUAUAUAUGAACACGUUCCGGGUAGCAUCAUCAAUGAAAAAUCGACAUCCACCAACAGAGGACACUUCAAACGGUUCGCAAAGAUCUGUAUAGACCAGCUCCAUAUGCUCCAAACGCUCAUUGGCCCUGGAAUCACUGUUGGGAAGUUCGUCACGAGGAUGUUUACCCUGUAGACAUGCAAUGCAUUCUAGUGUCCUCACAUUCUUGAUCUAAACUUUGUUUGUCAUCCGCCGCAAUAGCUUGAGAUUCUGUACAUUUGUACGUUCAUGGUGCGCACUUGCAUGCAGAAGUGUUGGAAAAUAUCAGCGCUGGUCGUAAGACAUUGUGCGCUACAACUCACAACUCUUAAGCAAAUAUUUGCUAUUUUUCAAUACAGAUUUUAUUUUGUGCAAAUAAAAAUCGUACCAAAAAUAGCAAAUAUUUGCGUCGUCUAAUACCUGCUUUAGCCGCAUAUACCUGUUGUCGCCUUUUAACCAAAAACUUGUCUUGCGAUGGAGCGAGUAUUAUUUUUGAGUUAGCACAUGCUCUUCUGAAAUUAAUAUUUUUAAUGUAAAUUAGACGUAUAUUUUCAACCCAAUAAUAAAAGGUACAAUUUGCAACAGAAACAUUUCAACAGUUGACUUUUCAGGAGCCAUAUUGACUGCAGUCAAAAUUUGUCCAUGCAAGAAAAGUAUAAACAUUAACUUUGGUUUUUAUGAUUAUGCGUAAGAUAAAGUCUAACCCAGGUUGAGCUUUUGAACCCAAUGCUCAAUCAAUAUAAAGUUUAUUUUAAAAGAAUUGUCGAGACAGACCAUUCAUUUUAUUUAUUAUUGAAAUACUAAAAAUUACACUUAACAUGAAUAGUUUCAUCAACAUAAAUAAAUUCUUCCUAUUUGCUUCUGUGCACGGCAUAAUGAAUCAAACCUUUCAGCGUGAAAUUAUCAUAAAAACCGUCUUCGUCACGUAUAGCCCACUUGCUUGCUGUCCCUCCCACUCUCGGUGGAAACAACUUUUUCCGGUCACGCACCGAGUGUUCCGGAAAGCCUCGACUGUCAUCAUUAAAGUAUGUCUUAUAAACUCCAGCGAAAAAAAAAAAUAGCUCAAUCCCUUAAUUCGCAGCGCUAUUCAUUCGCGGACAUUUUCGCUUACGUUUUAAAAAAGAGCGGACUUUUCUCUGCAGUGGGAGGACACUCUGAUUCACUAGCGUCCGAUAGCGCCCGCCACGCAAUCCCCCCGGGGCGCUUAGCGCACCUUUCGAUUGCAAGUUUACACAACCAACCGAGAGCGUCAACGCGUAACAGAACGUGCUUUUCAUCGACAAUUAUGCCGAGCUCACAAAUGAGGGUGGAAGCAGAACUGCCGCAGGGAAAUCCAGUCUACAAUUGGGCAGUCACACGUACCGCAGUGUCCGGCAGGAACUAAGCCACUGGUUACCGAGAGCCGCACGUUCCGUGAAAAUAUCCCCGUUAGUAGCCUUAGGCUACCGGCUUUAGGAGGAAAUCAAAACUUUACCCUUUCGAAGCCAUUUUUUCACCUUACAAAGGAAAUCUUAACCUCUAACACCUAGUACUCCAAAGGUAGUUGAAGUAUCUAGUGUUUUCUGUUCUCUCUCGCUAGUCCGGUAAACUACGUGUUCUUGCUAUGAGCCCAGGGCUAACCAAAGCUUGCGUGUUACUCCAGUCUCGGUAGAUUUAUUUUCCAUCGGAGGCAAACUCAUCAACUGUGAAUGUGGAAUAAAAUUCUUCCCUAGGCAAGUUUCUCACGUUUCUCUCGGUCGGAUUUGCAAGUGGACCAGAAGUGCGUCACUUCUAGAUACACGGUUCGGCCAGGUUAAUCGACUCUCGUUUCAGGACUGCUGGUUACAAUGGUUGGCUGGAACUUUGCUGGCGAAGCUGGUAAGGUGCGCUAAACAGAGGCUGACUUUUAUGCUCGUGUGCACUUUUGAAACUUGAGUGCCUGUUAGAAAUGACGCUGAACGAGUGGGGAAAAGAAUAAAGGAAUCAUUAUAUUGUGUUCUUAAAUUGAGGACGAUGGCGUUAUGUUUGCUGCUGUUGAGAAACGGUGGAGAGCUGCUCCAAGUGUGCGCGUCCGUCAGUCGGCACGAGACGAGAAAAAUAAGCUCGAGUACGUACUGUGUUUUGUUUGUCAGCAGCGCUAAAGAAACUUGUAAGAUGAGAGGAGAUGAUAUGUAAACACGAAAGCUGUACACCUCGGCUGGGUGGAUGAUAACAGGGAUGCCCGCGGAACGUUUUAUUUUGAUAACAGCCAGAGAGUAGCGAAAAUAAACCUGUUAUAUGAUAUUUAGGGAGUUGUCAACAUUUGAAGUAGUUCAUUUUGAAACAGUAAUAAAAAUGUUAAGCAAUUAUUUUGUAUCUCUUA